GUCUUAUUGAUUAUAAUUUUAAGUCUAAUCUGCCCAAUGAAAAUUUUAAUGGCUGCAGUAUUUUAACUGUACAAAGGUAGCAUAAUAAUUAGUCUUUUAAUUGUUGACUGGAAUGAAUGAUUGGACGAGAUAAUAGCUGUCUCUUAAUAAUUUUUAGAAUUUUAUUUUUAAGUUAAAAAGCUUAAAUAAUAUUAAAAGACGAGAAGACCCUAUAGAGUUUUAUAUUAAUAAUAAUUUAAAUUUUAGCAUUAAAAUUUUAUUUUUGUUUAAUUAAUAUUUGAUUGGGGUGAUUAAAAAAUUUAAUAAACUUUUUUUCUUUUUUAACAUAAAUAAAUGAUUAUUUGAUCCAAUUAUUUUGAUUAUAAGAUUAAAUUACCUUAGGGAUAACAGCGUAAUUUUUUUAGAGAGUUCAUAUCGAAAAAAAAGAUUGCGACCUCGAUGUUGGAUUAAAAUUAAUUUUUGGCGUAGAAGUUAAAAAAUUAGGUCUGUUCGACCUUUAAAAUUUUACAUGAUCUGAGUUUAAACCGGCGUGAGCCAGGUUGGUUUCUAUCUUUAAUAGUUUUUAAUAUUUUAGUACGAAAGGACCAAAUAUUAGUAAAAUUUACUUUAUAUUGAA
RNAcentral lists this ribosomal RNA (616 nucleotides) under Sciaphyes sibiricus. RNAcentral describes it as "16S ribosomal RNA". The stretch from base 383 to 541 matches the Rfam family "Bacterial large subunit ribosomal RNA", at positions 2473 to 2632 of the family's 2925-position model. Lineage: Eukaryota; Metazoa; Arthropoda; Insecta; Coleoptera; Leiodidae. The record is from RNAcentral.